AUUGAACGCUGGCGGCAUGCCCUACACAUGCAAGUCGAACGGCAGCAUGAUCUAGCUUGCUAGAUUGAUGGCGAGUGGCGAACGGGUGAGUAAUACAUCGGAACGUGCCCUGUAGUGGGGGAUAACUAGUCGAAAGAUUAGCUAAUACCGUAUACGACCUGAGGGUGAAAGUGGGGGACCGCAAGGCCUCAUGCUAUAGGAGCGGCCGAUGUCGGAUUAGCUAGUUGGUGAGGUAAAGGCUCACCAAGGCGACGAUCAGUAGCUGGUCUGAGAGGACGAUCAGCCACACUGGGACUGAGACACGGCCCAGACUCCUACGGGAGGCAGCAGUGGGGAAUUUUGGACAAUGGGCGAAAGCCUGAUCCAGCAAUGCCGCGUGUGUGAAGAAGGCCUUCGGGUUGUAAAGCACUUUUGUCCGGAAAGAAAUGGCUCUGGUUAAUACCUGGGGUCGAUGACGGUACCGGAAGAAUAAGGACCGGCUAACUACGUG
RNAcentral lists this ribosomal RNA (490 nucleotides) under uncultured bacterium. RNAcentral describes it as "partial 16S ribosomal RNA". It matches the Rfam family "Bacterial small subunit ribosomal RNA", at positions 30 to 507 of the family's 1533-position model. The record is from RNAcentral.